AACAGGAUUAGAUACCCUGGUAGUCCACGCCGUAAACGAUGUCGACUUGGAGGUUGUGCCCUUGAGGCGUGGCUUCCGGAGCUAACGCGUUAAGUCGACCGCCUGGGGAGUACGGCCGCAAGGUUAAAACUCAGAUGAAUUGACGGGGGCCCGCACAAGCGGUGGAGCAUGUGGUUUAAUUCGAUGCAACGCGAAGAACCUUACCUACUCUUGACAUCCAGAGAACUUAGCAGAGAUGCUUUGGUGCCUUCGGGAACUCUGAGACAGGUGCUGCAUGGCUGUCGUCAGCUCGUGUUGUGAAAUGUUGGGUUAAGUCCCGCAACGAGCGCAACCCUUAUCCUUUGUUGCCAGCGGUUCGGCCGGGAACUCAAAGGAGACUGCCAGUGAUAAACUGGAGGAAGGUGGGGAUGACGUCAAGUCAUCAUGGCCCUUACGAGUAGGGCUACACACGUGCUACAAUGGCAUAUACAAAGAGAAGCGACCUCGCGAGAGCAAGCGGACCUCAUAAAGUAUGUCGUAGUCCGGAUUGGAGUCUGCAACUCGACUCCAUGAAGUCGGAAUCGCUAGUAAUCGUGGAUCAGAAUGCCACGGUGAAUACGUUCCCGGGCCUCGUACACACCGCCCGUCACACCAUGGGAGUGGGUUGCAAAAGAAGUAGGUAGCUUAACCUUCGGGAGGGCGCUUACCACUUUGUGAUUCAUGACUGGGGUGAAGUCGUAACAAGGUAACC
RNAcentral lists this ribosomal RNA (730 nucleotides) under uncultured bacterium. Its description in RNAcentral is "bacterial SSU rRNA". It matches the Rfam family "Bacterial small subunit ribosomal RNA", at positions 771 to 1501 of the family's 1533-position model. The record is from RNAcentral.